Molecule: ribosomal RNA, 465 nt
Filed under: uncultured bacterium
Lineage: Bacteria
Description: partial 16S ribosomal RNA
Rfam family: Bacterial small subunit ribosomal RNA
Source: RNAcentral
GACGAACGCUGGCGGCGUGCUUAACACAUGCAAGUCGAACGGAAAGGCCCUGCUUGCAGGGUACUCGAGUGGCGAACGGGUGAGUAACACGUGGGUGAUCUGCCCUGCACUUCGGGAUAAGCCUGGGAAACUGGGUCUAAUACCGGAUAGGAGCCAUUUUUAGUGUGAUGGUUGGAAAGUUUUUUCGGUGUAGGAUGAGCUCGCGGCCUAUCAGCUUGUUGGUGGGGUAAUGGCCUACCAAGGCGGCGACGGGUAGCCGGCCUGAGAGGGUGGACGGCCACAGUGGGACUGAGAUACGGCCCAGACUCCUACGGGAGGCAGCAGUGGGGAAUAUUGCACAAUGGGCGCAAGCCUGAUGCAGCGACGCCGCGUGGGGGAUGACGGCCUUCGGGUUGUAAACUCCUUUCGCUAGGGACGAAGCUUUUUGUGACGGUACCUAGAGAAGAAGCACCGGCUAACUACGUG